This 793-nucleotide ribosomal RNA is filed under the name Platygyra ryukyuensis. Its description in RNAcentral is "partial large subunit ribosomal RNA". The record is from RNAcentral. Lineage: Eukaryota; Metazoa; Cnidaria; Anthozoa; Scleractinia; Merulinidae.
CCCGCUGAAUUUAAGCAUAUUAAUAAGCGGAGGAAAAGAAACUAACAAGGAUUCCCUCAGUAACGGCGAGUGAAGCGGGAAGAGCUCAAAUUUGRAAUCUCCGAUGCUUGCAUCGGCGAGUUGUAGUUGCGAGAAGCACUUUCUAGGCGGAUCGACGGUGCCUAAGUUGCUUGGAACRGCACGUCGCAGAGGGUGACAACCCCGUCUGUGGCGCCGCCGGCCGCCGACGAUGUGCUUUCGAAGAGUCGGGUUGUUUGGGAAUGCAGCCCAAAACGGGUGGUAAACUCCAUCUAAAGCUAAAUACUGGCGUGAGACCGAUAGCGAACAAGUACCGUGAGGGAAAGAUGAAAAGAACUUUGAAAAGAGAGUUAAAAAGUACGUGAAACCGUCGAAAGGGAAACGAAUGGACUCAGCAAUGCGCCCUCUGAGAUUCAGCCGGUGKGUGGCGGCGGCGCCGGGUUUGCGGAUCUGAAUGGACCGCGGCCUGGCGCCCGCCUCGUCUCCCCGCCGUCGCACUUCUCUGGGGCGCGCGUCAACGUGGGUUGGGACUGGGUCUGAAAGGCGCCGGGAAGGUAGGUGUGGGCCUUCGGGUCCGUUCUGUUACAGCCCGGUUCUCUCAUGGCUCGGGCCCGACCGAGGAGCGACACGGGGCAUGCCUCCUGUGGCUAGGGUCCCGCCCUUCCGGCCGGCUGUCCAGUGCGGUGGACUGCUUGCAGUGCUCCGCGGCGGCUGCCGGUCGUUGGGGUGGUGAUCUCGUACCAUGCCCCUAGGAUGUUGGCGGUCAUAUGGGUGC